This 45-nucleotide microRNA precursor is filed under the name Erinaceus europaeus (western European hedgehog). RNAcentral's name for it is "miRNA (ENSEEUG00000019832.1)". Lineage: Eukaryota; Metazoa; Chordata; Mammalia; Eulipotyphla; Erinaceidae. The record is from RNAcentral.
GCCCGCUGGGCUGGGCUGGGCUGGGCUGGGGGGGUGAGGGGGGCA